RNAcentral lists this ribosomal RNA (253 nucleotides) under uncultured bacterium. Its description in RNAcentral is "partial 16S ribosomal RNA". It matches the Rfam family "Bacterial small subunit ribosomal RNA", at positions 524 to 776 of the family's 1533-position model. The record is from RNAcentral.
UACGUAGGGUGCGAGCGUUGCCCGGAUUUAUUGGGCGUAAAGAGUACGUAGGCGUUCUGGUAAGUCACAUUUUAAAGACUGAGGCUCAACCUCAGGAGUGGAUGUGAUACUGCUAGAAUCGAAGAACUUAGGGGCUACUGGAACUUAUCAUGUAGGGGUGAAAUCCGUUGAUAUGAUAAGGAACGCCAAGGGUGAAGACAGGUAGCUGGGAGUUUCUUGACGCUGAGGUACGAAAGCUAGGGGAGCGAAAGGG